Molecule: transfer RNA, 72 nt
Filed under: Camelus bactrianus (Bactrian camel)
Lineage: Eukaryota; Metazoa; Chordata; Mammalia; Artiodactyla; Camelidae
Also listed under: 2 other names
Rfam family: tRNA
About the family: Transfer RNA (tRNA) molecules are approximately 80 nucleotides in length. Their secondary structure includes four short double-helical elements and three loops (D, anti-codon, and T loops). Further hydrogen bonds mediate the characteristic L-shaped molecular structure. tRNAs have two regions of fundamental functional importance: the anti-codon, which is responsible for specific mRNA codon recognition, and the 3' end, to which the tRNAs corresponding amino acid is attached (by aminoacyl-tRNA synthetases). tRNAs cope with the degeneracy of the genetic code in two manners: having more than one tRNA (with a specific anti-codon) for a particular amino acid; and 'wobble' base-pairing, i.e. permitting non-standard base-pairing at the 3rd anti-codon position.
Source: Rfam by way of RNAcentral
AGAGAAAUAGCUCAGUGGCAGAGCACAUGCCUAGCAUGCACGAGGUCCUGCAUUCAAUCUCCAAUCUCUCCA